AACGAACGCUGGCGGCAGGCCUAACACAUGCAAGUCGAGCGCGCCCUUCGGGGUGAGCGGCGGACGGGUGAGUAACGCGUGGGAACGUGCCCUUCUCUGCGGAAUAGCCUCGGGAAACUGAGAGUAAUACCGCAUACGCCCUUUGGGGGAAAGAUUUAUCGGGGAAGGAUCGGCCCGCGUGGGAUUAGGUAGUUGGUGGGGUAAUGGCCCACCAAGCGGACGAUCCAUAGCCGGGUUGAGAGGAUGAUCAGCCACACUGGGACGGAGACACGGCCCAGCCUCCUACGGGAGGCAGCAGUGGGGAAUCUUAGACAAUGGGGGCAACCCAGAUCUAGCCAUGCCGCGUGAGUGAUGAAGGCCUUAGGGUUGUAAAGCUCUUUCAGCUGGGAAGAUAAUGACGGUACCAGCAGAAGAAGCCCCGGCUAACUCCGUG
RNAcentral lists this ribosomal RNA (433 nucleotides) under uncultured bacterium. RNAcentral's name for it is "partial 16S ribosomal RNA". It matches the Rfam family "Bacterial small subunit ribosomal RNA", at positions 29 to 507 of the family's 1533-position model. The record is from RNAcentral.